GCCUGAUGCAGCGACGCGCGUNGAGUGAGAAAGGCUUUCGGGUCGUAAAGCUCUUUGUAGGGAAGGGGAAGGACGGUACCCUGAGAAANAGCGUCGGCUAACUACGUGCCAGCAGCCGCGGUAAGACGUAGGACGCGAGCGUUAUCCGGAAUUACUGGGCGUAAAGGGCCAGCAGGCGGCUAGGUAAGUUGUGCGUGAAAGCCUCGUGCUCAACGCGAGGAAGCCGGACAAUACUGUCUAGCUGGAGGGCAUCAGAGGGGAGUGGAAUUCCCGGAGUAGCGGUAAAAUGCGCAGAUAUCGGGAGGAACACCGAUGGCGAAGGCAACUCCCUGGGGUGUACCUGACGCUAAGUGGCGAAAGCUAGGGGGGCGAACAGGAUUAGAGACCCUGGUAGUCCUAGCUGUAAACGCUGGGUGCUAGGUGUGGGGCGUAGAAGCUCUGUGCCGGAGCGAACGCGAUAAGCACCCCGCCUGGGAAUUACGGUCGCAAGGCUAAAACUCAAACGAAUUGACGGGGCCCCGCACAAGCAGCGGAGCGUGUGGUUCAAUUCGAUGCUACACGAAGAACCUUACCUGGGUUUGACAUGUACGUGGUAGAGAAGCGAAAGCGGAUUGACCCUUCGGGGAGCGUACACAGGUGCUGCAUGGCUGUCGUCAGCUCGUGCCGUGAGGUGUCGGGUUAAGUCCCGUAACGAGCGCAACCCUUGCCCUUAGUUACAAGUGUCUAGGGGGACUGCCGGCGGGAAGCCGGAGGAAGGUGGGGAUGACGUCAAGUCAGCAUGGCCCUUAUGUCCAGGGCUACACACACGCUACAAUGGUCAGUACAAAGGGUAGCGAAGCCGUGAGGUGGAGCGAAUCUCAGCAAAGCUGAUCGUAGUUCGGAUUGCAGGCUGCAACCCGCCUGCAGAAGCUGGAGU
RNAcentral lists this ribosomal RNA (916 nucleotides) under uncultured organism. Its description in RNAcentral is "bacterial SSU rRNA". It matches the Rfam family "Bacterial small subunit ribosomal RNA", at positions 381 to 1332 of the family's 1533-position model. The record is from RNAcentral.